GACGAACGCUGGCGGCGUGCUUAACACAUGCAAGUCGAACGGAAAGGCCCUGCUUUUGUGGGGUGCUCGAGUGGCGAACGGGUGAGUAACACGUGAGUAACCUGCCCUUGACUUUGGGAUAACUUCAGGAAACUGGGGCUAAUACCGGAUAGGAGCUCCUGCUGCAUGGUGGGGGUUGGAAAGUUUCGGCGGUUGGGGAUGGACUCGCGGCUUAUCAGCUUGUUGGUGGGGUAGUGGCUUACCAAGGCUUUGACGGGUAGCCGGCCUGAGAGGGUGACCGGCCACAUUGGGACUGAGAUACGGCCCAGACUCCUACGGGAGGCAGCAGUGGGGAAUAUUGCACAAUGGGCGGAAGCCUGAUGCAGCAACGCCGCGUGCGGGAUGACGGCCUUCGGGUUGUAAACCGCUUUCGCCUGUGACGAAGCGUGAGUGACGGUAAUGGGUAAAGAAGCACCGGCUAACUACGUGCCAGCAGCCGCGGUGAUACGUAGGGUGCGAGCGUUGUCCGGAUUUAUUGGGCGUAAAGGGUUCGUAGGUGGUUGAUCGCGUCGGAAGUGUAAUCUUGGGGCUUAACCCUGAGCGUGCUUUCGAUACGGGUUGACUUGAGGAAGGUAGGGGAGAAUGGAAUUCCUGGUGGAGCGGUGGAAUGCGCAGAUAUCAGGAGGAACACCAGUGGCGAAGGCGGUUCUCUGGGCCUUUCCUGACGCUGAGGAGCGAAAGCGUGGGGAGCGAACAGGCUUAGAUACCCUGGUAGUCCACGCUGUAAACGGUGGGUACUAGGUGUGGGGUCCAUUCCACGGGUUCCGUGCCGUAGCUAACGCUUUAAGUACCCCGCCUGGGGAGUACGGCCGCAAGGCUAAAACUCAAAGGAAUUGACGGGGCCCCGCACAAGCGGCGGAGCAUGCGGAUUAAUUCGAUGCAACGCGUAGAACCUUACCUGGGUUUGACAUGGAUCGGGAGUGCUCAGAGAUGGGUGUGCCUCUUUUGGGGUCGGUUCACAGGUGGUGCAUGGCUGUCGUCAGCUCGUGUCGUGAGAUGUUGGGUUAAGUCCCGCAACGAGCGCAACCCUUGUUCACUGUUGCCAGCACGUUAUGGUGGGGACUCAGUGGAGACCGCCGGGGUCAACUCGGAGGAAGGUGGGGAUGACGUCAAGUCAUCAUGCCCCUUAUGUCCAGGGCUUCACGCAUGCUACAAUGGCUGGUACAGAGAGUGGCGAGCCUGUGAGGGUGAGCGAAUCUCGGAAAGCCGGUCUCAGUUCGGAUUGGGGUCUGCAACUCGACCUCAUGAAGUCGGAGUCGCUAGUAAUCGCAGAUCAGCAACGCUGCGGUGAAUACGUUCCCGGG
Molecule: ribosomal RNA, 1343 nt
Filed under: uncultured bacterium
Lineage: Bacteria
Description: 16S ribosomal RNA
Rfam family: Bacterial small subunit ribosomal RNA
Source: RNAcentral